Molecule: ribosomal RNA, 253 nt
Filed under: uncultured bacterium
Lineage: Bacteria
Description: partial 16S ribosomal RNA
Rfam family: Bacterial small subunit ribosomal RNA
Source: RNAcentral
UACGAGGGGGGCGAGCGUUGUUCGGAAUUAUUGGGCGUAAAGGGUGCGUAGGCGGUUCCGCAAGUCCUGUGUGAAAUCUUCGGGCUCAACUCGAAGUCUGCACGGGAAACUGCGGGGCUUGAGUGUGGGAGAGGUGAGUGGAAUUCCAGGUGUAGCGGUGAAAUGCGUAGAUAUCGGGAGGAACACCUGUGGCGAAAGCGGCUCACUGGACCAUAACUGACGCUGAUGCACGAAAGCUAGGGGAGCAAACAGG